CGUUUGCUACACGAAGAACCUUACCUGGGUUUUGACAUAUAGGUUGUAGGGAACUGAAAAGGGACCGACCCUUCGGGGAGCCUAUACAGGUGUUGCAUGGCUGUCGUCAGCUCGUGUCGUGAGAUGUUCGGUUAAGUCCGCUAACGAGCGCAACCCUCGUCGUAUGUUAUAUGUGUCAUACGAGACUGCCGGUAAAAAGCCGGAGGAAGGUGAGGAUGAUGUCAAGUCAGCAUGACCUUUAUAUCCAGGGCUACACACACGCUACAAUGGUCUGUACAAUGGGUAGCCAAGCCGCGAGGCGGAGCCAAUCCUGAAAGCAGGCCUCAGUUCAGAUUGCAGUCUGCAACUCGACUGCAUGAAGCCGGAGUUGCUAGUAACCGCAGGUCAGCAAUACUGCGGUGAAUACGUUCCGGGUCUU
RNAcentral lists this ribosomal RNA (418 nucleotides) under uncultured Anaerolineaceae bacterium. RNAcentral describes it as "bacterial SSU rRNA". It matches the Rfam family "Bacterial small subunit ribosomal RNA", at positions 952 to 1381 of the family's 1533-position model. Lineage: Bacteria; Bacillati; Chloroflexota; Anaerolineae; Anaerolineales; Anaerolineaceae. The record is from RNAcentral.